This is a long non-coding RNA of Cannabis sativa, 1908 nucleotides long. RefSeq lists it as uncharacterized. The record is from RefSeq and is a predicted model, not a curated record. Lineage: Eukaryota; Viridiplantae; Streptophyta; Magnoliopsida; Rosales; Cannabaceae. The transcript is spliced from 3 exons.
AAGAUCAUUCACGGCAAGAUGGUGUUUAUGUCAACUUUGUGAAUUAACAGGAAACUAACUAACAUUAGUUAAUAUUGAUAACAAAGGGAAGGGGUUUGGAUUCUUUCGAAUGAAAAAAAUUUAUAAAAGAUAAAAUAAAUAAAUGAAAAAAUAUUUUAGAGGGAAAAAUCCUACUAGUUUUUUUUUUCAAAAUUCAUAAAAUAUUAUCAGUAACGAUAUUAUCUUCACUGAUAUUAAAUAAAACUUGUCAUCAUUAAAGGGGGCAUGGCGCCACUCAUAGUGCUGUCACUAAAAACUAUAAUUCUUGCAGUGAGUUACAACAUCAGUUCUAGAAAUUUUAAAAAAUAUUCAAAUAGUUUAUAAUACCAAAAAUAGGUUCAAAACUUUUUAAACACAAGUGGUAAAUUAGAAUAUCCGAAAGUUUUGUUUUUCAUACUGUAAACUAUUUGAAAUUUUUUAUAAUUUUACAAGGUAUGACAUUGUAAAUAUAACAAAUACUGCUACAAAAAAAAUUAAAACAAUAAAAUUCUGACAUAUAAGUUCGGAUGUAGAGAUUAACUAAGUGAUUGUAAUAUAGGAGGUUGUAAUUAGCACUCCUCAUAUAUUAGAACAAAAUGAAAAUGGAUUAAGUAUUAAUAAUUUCUUUUUUAUACCUUAAUAAAAAAAAAAGAUCAUAAUUGGUCUAAUUUUUAAAAAUAAUUUGUGUUUCUUCAUCUAGCUUAUUGAAACCGAGUUUUAUCUUGCAACCAAAAUAAAAUAAAAUAAAUCUUGUGACGGUUAUAAAUGUGCUUACAUUAUAAAUAGUUGGUAGAAUUAGUGUUGAGAGACCAAAGUAAUUAAUUUCAUCACAAGUAAACAAACACAGUGCCGCCAUAAUAGAGAUUAGAGAGACAUAAUUAUCAUCUCAGCUUAGAGCAAAUAAUUUCAAUUCAAUAAUUUCUUGCAAAUUCUUCCUUUUCAAUUGUACGUGCGCCAUUCAACUUAAGAAUUUGCAAAGUCAAGAAAAUUUCAAAAAUCCCAAGCUAGUUCAAGAAAUAAGAAAAAAUAUAACAACGAUCAUAUCUUUUCUUCUAUUUUCUUCCAUGGAGAUCCCAAACAACUAUGAGGGCUUGAUAAUAGAGCAUCGUCACAGAGUAUUCUGCCGCGUUCGAAACCUGGGAACCGGAGAAAUAACACAGCUUCCCAUUCCUCAGGCCGAAAAAAUUCUCGGAAAUGUGUUUUAUUAUGAUUGGUUCACUCAUGACAUUAAAUUUAUCAUCAAUUCCGAAAAAAGUUAAGAAAUUCUCAAACUUGGUGACCAAAAUUGGAGACCCCUACAACCCAAUUUUCGAAAAGAUCAAAUUGUGCUCAUGUCAAAUGAUAGGAAGAAAAUGCUCUUCUUUUAUUGCCUUGUUCAUCAAGGCAGUUUUGAUUUACGGGUUACUUUGUUUGAUCUAAGGACAGAGGAAUAUGAGACUAUUAGAAAUUUUCCAAGAAAUAUUUUCUGUGAUGUAACCAAGCUCAUUCCUUUUUAUUGGGAAUCUGAUCCUGCUAUUGGUGAAUUGAGUAAGGAACAUGGGCUUAGGGUUUUGGUGAUGAAGAAUGAUUAUAGUUGGAAUGAACAAGUGAUAGAGAUCUCCUCAGCUUUCUUAAAUUUACAUUUGAUUACAAUGAAGUUUUUCCCUAUUGAUUUUGUGAAUGGUAUACUUUGGUUUCAAUGUAAUGGUAGCCGAAAAUAUUAUUUCUGUUACCAUAUAGUAAGUGGCUCUGUUAUCGGAUAUGUUAAAGCAUUAUUCAUAUGAAUCAGGAUAGCUUUUCUUUUUAUUUUUUAUUUUUAUUUUUUUUUCUUGAGAGAAUAUUCCUCAUUGUAAUUUUGUUCGUUGUUCUUAAUAAUAAAAAUAAGUAAUAUAUUUUAAGUUUUUUGAGCUU